AUGAAUCUCAACGCUGUUCUCUAGAGGCCUAUAUUUCAACUGCUACGUCAAAGGUAGCCAAGAAGAGUACUGAGGUCUUCUCCAAGCACUAUGAAGAUGGAUGUUAAAUCAGACUGAGUCUGAGUUAUACAAAGACAUACAGAUGCUAUUCAACCAACUUCCUAUUGACCAGUACUACAGUAAGUAUU
Orcinus orca (killer whale) is the source of this 188-nucleotide long non-coding RNA. RefSeq lists it as uncharacterized. The transcript is spliced from 3 exons. NCBI's taxonomy places the organism in Eukaryota, Metazoa, Chordata, Mammalia, Artiodactyla, Delphinidae. The record is from RefSeq and is a predicted model, not a curated record.